RNAcentral lists this ribosomal RNA (2090 nucleotides) under termite gut metagenome. RNAcentral describes it as "bacterial LSU rRNA". It matches the Rfam family "Bacterial large subunit ribosomal RNA", at positions 1 to 2108 of the family's 2925-position model. The record is from RNAcentral.
CCAAGCGUAAAGGGCGCAGGGCGGAUGCCUUGGCGCCAAGGGCCGACGAAGGACGCGACAAGCUGCGAAAAGCCGCGGGGAGGGGCAAAUGCCCGUUGAUCCGCGGGUGUCCGAAUGGGGAAACCCGGCGGGGCGAACCCCCGCCACCGCGCGCCGAACACAUAGGCGCGCGGGGGGAACCCGGGGAACUGAAACAUCUAAGUACCCGGAGGAAGAGAAAGAAACAUCGAUGCCCGGAGUAGCGGCGAGCGAAACGGGCGGAGCCCAAACCGGCGCGCGUGCGCGCCGGGGUAUGGACCGCCGGAAGGCGCCGAGACCCCAGCGGAACGGCUUUGGGAAAGCCGGCCGGAGAGGGUGAGGGCCCCGUACGCGAAGGGGUCGGGGCGCCGGGCGGGAUCCGGAGUACCGCGGGACACGAGAAACCCUGCGGGAAGGAGGGGGGACCACCCCCCAAGGCUAAACACCCUUGGCGACCGAUAGUGGAACAGUACCGUGAGGGAAAGGUGAAAAGAACCCCGGGAGGGGAGUGAAAGAGAACCUGAAACCCUGCGUCCACAAGCUGCGGGACGCCGCGCCGGCGACGGCGCGGGCGAACCGCGUACUUUUUGUAGAACGGUCCGGCGAGUUGCGGCGGCCGGCGAGGUUAAGGGCCGGGAGGCCCGGAGCCGAAGGGAGACCGAGCCCGAAACGGGCGAGUGAGUCGUCCGCCGCAAACCCGAAACCGGGUGAUCUACCCCCGUCCAGGCCGAAGCCGCCGUAAAGGGCGGUGGAGGGCCGAACGCGGAUCCGUUGAAAAGGGUCGCGAUGAGGCGGGGGUAGGGGAGAAAUUCCAAUCGAACCCGGAGAUAGCUGGUUCUCCCCGAAAUAGCUUUAGGGCUAGCCCCGCGCGAGGCUGCCGGAGGUAGAGCACUGGACUGCCUAGGGGGCGUCAAAGCUUACCGAAGCACACCAAACUCCGAAUGCCGGACAGCCGGUGCGCGGGAGUCAGACCGCACGAGACAAGUCGGGCGGUCGAGAGGGGAAGAGCCCGGACCACCGGCCAAGGCCCCAAAGGGCGCGUUAAGUGGGAAAGGAUGUGGCGGCCCGAAGACAGCUGGGACGUUGGCUCAGAAGCAGCCACGCAUUGAAAGAGUGCGUAACAGCUCACCAGUCGAGGGCCGCCGCGCCGAAAAUAACCGGGGCUGAAACGCGCCGCCGAAGCCGUGGGCCCGCCGCAAGGCGGGCGGUAGGGGAGCGUCCCCGGGCCGGCGAAGCGGCAGCCGCGAGGCGCCGUGGAGGGCCGGGGAGAGAGAAUGCCGGAAUGAGUAGCGAGAGUGGGGUGGGAAUCCCCACGGCCGAAUGUCCGAGGUUUCCAGGGUAAAGCUGAUCUGCCCUGGGGGAGUCGGGACCUAAGGCGAGGGCGAAGGCCGUAGCCGAAGGGCAACGGGUAGAGAUUCCCGUACCCCGCGCGGACAGAACUGCGGGGACGCGGACGCGGGGGCGCGGCCGGGCGACGGAAGCCCGGCGCAAGCCAGGACCCCGGGGCGGCGAAGCACCGCCCCGCUGUGGGGGAGAGGCGAGUCCGACCGAACCUACGGGUAGGGAAGCGCGCCGAAGCGCCCGCCGAGAAAAGCCGCUAUGGCUCCGCGCGGGCCCGUACCGCAAACCGACACAGGUGGACGGGGAGAGAAUCCCAAGGCCGGCGGGGGAAGCGUCGUCAAGGAACUCGGCAAAAUGGCCCCGUAACUUAGGGAGAAGGGGCGCCCGCGAAGGCGGGCCGCAGAGAAGGGGUCCAAGCAACUGUUUAGCAAAAACACAGGUCUAUGCGAAGCCGCAAGGCGAGGUAUAUGGGCUGACGCCUGCCCGGUGCCGGAAGGUUAAGGGGGGGGCUUAGCGCUUGCGCGAGGGCCCGAACCGAAGCCCCGGUAAACGGCGGCCGUAACUAUAACGGUCCUAAGGUAGCGAAAUUCCUUGUCGGGUAAGUUCCGACCCGCACGAAGGGCGUAAUGAUUUGGACGCUGUCUCGACGACGCACCCGGUGAAAUUGAAGUGCCAGUGAAGAUGCUGGCUACCCGCGCCAGGACGGAAAGACCCCAUGGAGCUUCACUCCA